CCUACGGGAGGCUGCAGUGAGGAAUAUUGGUCAAUGGGCUUACGCCUGAACCAGCCAAGUCGCGUGAGGGAAGACUGCCCUAUGGGUUGUAAACCUCUUUUGUCAGGGAGCAACGCCGGCUACGUGUAGCCGGCCUGAGAUUACCUGAAGAAAAACCUUCGGCUAACUCCGUGCCAGUAGCCGCGGUAAUACGGAGGAUGCGAGCGUUAUCCGGAUUUAUUGGGUUUAAGGGGUGCGUAGGCGGAAUGCCAAGUCAGCGGUAAAAUCGCGGGGCUAAACCUCGCUCAGCCGUUGAAACUGGCGUUCUUGAGUGGGCGAGAAGUAUGCGGAAGGCGUGGUGUAGCGGUGAAAUGCAUAGAUAUCACGCAGAACUCCGAUUGCGAAGGCAGCAUACCGGCGCCCAACUGACGCUGAAGCACGAAAGCGUGGGUAUCGAAUAGGAUUAGAUACCCGAGUAGUC
RNAcentral lists this ribosomal RNA (460 nucleotides) under uncultured bacterium. RNAcentral describes it as "partial 16S ribosomal RNA". It matches the Rfam family "Bacterial small subunit ribosomal RNA", at positions 338 to 795 of the family's 1533-position model. The record is from RNAcentral.